RNAcentral lists this transfer-messenger RNA (382 nucleotides) under Phaeodactylibacter sp. It matches the Rfam family "transfer-messenger RNA". From Rfam's summary of the family: Bacterial tmRNA, also known as 10Sa RNA or SsrA, is named for its dual tRNA and mRNA-like properties. Lineage: Bacteria; Pseudomonadati; Bacteroidota; Saprospiria; Saprospirales; Haliscomenobacteraceae. The record is from RNAcentral.
GGGGACGUACUGGAAUCGACAGGAAAGUCGGUUGCAAAGUAAGCAUGCCGGAGGAUGAUAUCUCACUCCGUCAAAAAAUGGAUAUCAAACCAAUUUUACAUGGCAACUCUUAUGGUUUUGCCAUGGCUGCCUAAGACGAGAGUCUUAGAAGCCAUUGUGCGCGCGCUUGACGCCUGAUACACAGCGUGUCGCGCAUCGUAACCCUCAGGCUAUACCUUUUGGAGCCGCUCCGGCCAAAAGGCGAACACUCAGGAGCUAAGGCAGUGGUUGCGGUCUGUCCCGAUACCCACCCGCUGCCCGAAAAUCUAAAUCGGGACUAAGCAUGUAGAAAGCUUUGUAACGCUUUCUCUGGACGCGGGUUCGACUCCCGCCGUCUCCACAA